Panthera uncia (snow leopard) is the source of this 3956-nucleotide long non-coding RNA. RefSeq lists it as uncharacterized. The record is from RefSeq and is a predicted model, not a curated record. The transcript is spliced from 3 exons. Lineage: Eukaryota; Metazoa; Chordata; Mammalia; Carnivora; Felidae.
CGCAUGCUCCUAGAGGUAACACACUCCCCGGCCCGUCUGGCGUAGAGCCAAUCGACCAGUAGUGACCGGCUUGGGCAUUUUGCACCUUCUAAAUACAGCGCCAGUUGGCGACCGCAUGGUUACGUCAUCGUUCGGAAACCCUGGCAGGCACUGUGCUAAGAGCUAAGUAUCUGUGAAGAGGUGGUUUUAAUGUCCCUGUAUUAAAGCACUUUCCUUCAGGAAUCGAAAAAUGCUGAGAAAGAAGAUUUUGAAGUACUAUCUCAAAAUAUUUUCUGCCAGAUAGUAAAAGGUACCUUUUUCUGGUCACUGACUUUGCAUUAAAUGCAUGUUUAAUAUUCAAAACCUCACUCUGGGGGUGGCUGGGUGGCUCAGUGGGACUCUUGAUUUGGGCUCAGGUCAUGAUCCCACAAUUUGGGAGAUCGAGCCCCAUGUCAGGCUCUGUGCUGACAGCAUGGAGCCUGCUUGGGAUUUUCUAUCUCCCUCUCUCUGUCCCUCCUCUGCUCACGUGUGUACACUUUCUCUCUCUCUCUGUCUCAAAAUAAUAAACUUAAAAAAAAUUAAAACCUCAUUUUCUGUUAGAUAAUGUUAUCUUCCUUUUAGAAAUGAAAAAGCUAAAGAUCAGAGAGAUUCAGUCAUUCAAUUCGUGCAACAAAUAUUUAGUAAGCACCCACCAGGUUCUUCAUUUUGGGCAAAGAGCAGUGAGGGAAACAGGAAAGGCCCUUCACUUUAUUGUCUUGCAUUCUGGCUGGGGAAAUAUAGACAACAAACCGGUAAACAGAUAAGAUACUUUCUGAGAGUGUUAAGUGCUGUGAACAAAAUAAGCCAAAGUGGCACACCCGGCAAGGAAUGGGGGAGCUGCUGUUAGGUUGGAUGGUCUCCGCAGUCCCAUAUGAAAAAGUGAGAUUCAAUCUGAUGCCUAGAAGGAAAAAGAAGAAAUGGGAAAUGGAGCUGUUAGUGCAAAGGCCCUAAGGCAGCAACAAGUUUGGCUCAUUCAAGACACUGGGAAGUUUGGGGGGGCCUGGGUGGCUCAGUGGGUUAAGCAGCUGACCUUGGCUCAGGUCACGAUCUCCCGAUUCACAGGUUCGAGCCCUGCGUCGGGCUCUGUGCUGACAGCUCGGAGCCUGGAGCCUGCUGGGAAUUCUGUGUCUCCCUCUCUCUCUGCCCCUCCCCUGCUCACGCUUAGUCUCUCUCUGUCUCUCACAAAAAUAAACAUUAAGAAAAAAUUUUUUUAAAAGACACAGGUAAGUUUGGUCAGGGGAGCAAAGAGGGAAAGCCGCUGGGUGGGUUUGAAAGGGAGGGUAGUUUGACUGGUGUUAUUUGUCAGUCAGGAUAAGCUAGGUUCGCAGUUCUGAAAUUGGUUCGCUUUGGUUUCAGCCCCCUAUUUUCUUUUUUAAAAAUUGAGGAUUCCAAAUAGCUUUUUUUAUGCAUUUAUCAGUUGUCUGUUGCUGUGUCACCCCAAAAUAUGACUUAAAACAACACAGGCACUGAUUUUCUCUGGGUUGUCUGUGGGCCUGGAACCUGGGAGCAGCUUGGUUGGGCUUUUCUGACUUGGGAUCGCUUGUGGGGUUGCAGUCGUCGAAAGCUUAGCUAAGGCUGAAGAAUCCAUCUUGCGAGAUGGCUCCAUCACAGUAGGGGGUGCUGCUGUUCGCAGGAAGCCUCCAUUCCUCUGUCUCCACAAGAGCCUCUCCACAGCAUACUUGAGUGUUCUCAGGCCAUGAUUGCUGGCUUCCCUCACAGCAGGUGAUCUAAGAAACAGCAAUGUGGAUGUUGAAAUACUUUUUAUGACCCCGUCUCAGAAGUUGCACAUCAUUAUUUCCUCUAAUGGUAACUCACCCUGUUUGCUGUGGUCACGACUACCAGGAAUUGAAUAUCCUUACAGGCCAUCUGGGGAGACUGGCCACCACAAUGUUGUAGAGGCCGUUUUUAGGCAACAGGCUUGAACGAUGGAAACCUGAGUAAGGUAGAAGAGCCCAGGGUGACCCCAGCGCUCUGGCUGAAUACAGAGAGGCCCAGCAGGCUACCCACCUCAAAAUAUCCAUAGGCCCUAACUAACCAAUGGGCUAUUUACAAGCAGGCACAGUUACCAAAAAAGGGAAAAUUCCACAGGUCUUCAUACCUCUUCACCUUCUCUCUUUAAAAACCGCCUCCAGCCACUGCCUCGUUACCAACAGCCUCUCCUCUGCUGUCUUGCCCACCGCUCCCUUGUAGUGUAUUUAAUAAAUUGUCUCCUUUGUUCUGCCUAGGGUGAAUCCUUCCACUGCCUGUGCCCCCGGCCCUCGCCCCUAUCCAAUUGAGAGAGACACCACAAAUGGGGGUAUUUUUCAAUUUAAAUUUAUAAAUCGGGAUGGUUCAGUCAGCUAAGUGUCCCACUUCAACUCAGUUCAUGAUCUCGUAGUUUGUCAGUUGCGAGCCCCGUGUCCUGUCAGCCUCUCCACUAUCAGCUCAGAGCCCGCUUUGGAUCCCUGUCUCCCUCACUCUUUGCCCUUCCCAGCCUGUGCUCUCUCACUGUCUCUCUGUCUCUGUCUCUCUCUCUCUCUCUCAAAAAUAAAUAAACAUUAAAAAUUUUAAUUUAUACAUAGAAAGAUUUUAUAUAUUUGAAUAUAUAUUUAGAAAAUAAAAUCUGUGAUAUUUACCACAUUAGAAAUUAAAGUUUAAAAAUGUUGUUGAUUGGGGCACCUGGGUGGCUCAGCGGGUUCAACUUCAGCUCAGGUCAUGAUCUCACGGUUCCCCAGUUCAAGCUCCGCGUUGGGCUCUGUGCUAACAGCUCAGGGCCUGGAUUCUGUUUCAGAUUGUGUGGAUCUGACCUUAUCUCUGACCCUCCCCCACUCACGCUCUAGUUCUCUCUCAAAAAAAAUUUAAAAAAUUAAAAUUAAAAAAAUAAAAAUACUCUUCAUUUAGGGGCAUCUGGGUGGCUCAGUCAGUUAAGUGUCCAACUCUAGAUUUCAGCUCAGGUCAUGAUCUCAUGGUUUGGGAGUUCGAGCUCUGCGUUGGGCUUAUGCUGGCAGUGUGGAGCCUGCUUGGAAUUCAUUCUCUCUCUCUCUGUCUCUCCCUCCCUCCCUCCCUGUCUCCUCCUCUCCACUCCUCACGUUCUCUCUCUUUCUCUCAGUAAGGAAAAACUUUAAAAAUAUAUUGUUCAUUUAAGAAUAAGUCCAUUAUGUGUUAACUUAAAUAAUGCACUUUUAAUGAAAAAAUAUUUUCCGAAACAAAAAUAAUUAGAAGAAUGGCAUUGUUUCUAAUAUUUUAAACAGAAGAGUGUUAGAUUCUUACUUUUGCUUCUGCAUACUCCACUAAACAUUCAUGAGAGAAUGAAAAUGAAAAAUGGAAAAUAAUGUUUCUGUGUUAUUACCAAAAUAGUUUUGACUUCAUGGAACCUUCUGAAAGGACUGUGCUACACUUUGGGAACCUUGGACUUGAUUAUGAUAUAGUAACAAAUGAUACCAAAAUCUCAGUAGCUUAAAAUAAUAAAGGUUUAUUUCUUGCUUAUGCUACAAAUCUAUUUGGGGUUGCCCCUGGUUCUGUUCCCUGUCAUCUUUACUCAAGAACUCAAGCUGACAAGUCAGCUUCUAGCUAGGACAUUGCCUGACAUUGUGAUGGGAUAAAAGAACUUGGUAAAUGAUCCUGUCUCUUAAAACUUGUGCUUGAGGGGGCACCUGGGUGGCUCAGUCGGUUAAGCGGCCGACUUCGGCUCAGGUCAUGAUCUCACGGUCCGUGAGUUCAAGCCCCGCGUCGGGCUCUGUGCUGACAGCUCAGAGCCUGGAGCCCAUUUCAGAUUCUGUGUCUCCCUCUCUCUGACCCUCCCCUGUUCGUGCUCUGUCUCUCCCUGUCUCAAAAAUAAAUAAAAACAUUAAAAAAAAUUGUAAAACUUGUGCUUGAAAGUGAUGUCAUUUUUUUUCUUUUUUCAUCAGCCAAAGCGAGUCACAUGGCCAAGCUUUAGUUCAUCAGAGCUGUUAUGUAUA